This 201-nucleotide long non-coding RNA is filed under the name Homo sapiens (human). Its description in RNAcentral is "non-protein coding lnc-RFPL3-4:1". The record is from RNAcentral. Lineage: Eukaryota; Metazoa; Chordata; Mammalia; Primates; Hominidae.
AUGGGCAACCUGCUCACACAUCUGCCUGGAGCUGCAGUUGUGAGUGCCCAGGUGCUCAGCACUGUGUGCCAGGGCCUUUGGGAAGAGAAUGUCAGUAGGAAGCCGGGGCCCGCAAGGGUCUGUAUAGCCCUGCUGCAUGGCCAGGUCUGCCCCUAUCAAGACAGCACAGAUGGCUGGGGCUGGAGUGGGGCUGUCCUCUAC